GCUGUAAUCCGCUAACAACCCUCGGAGGCCGGGGGCGGAACUCUCCGCGCGGAUCACUUUCAGUUGCGCGGAUCGAUUUCUAGUAAAUCCACCGUAAAACAAAAUCUACAGGAUGUCGGACGAGGGUAAACUGUUCAUCGGGGGCCUGAGCUUCGAGACGAACGAGAACUCUCUGGCCGCGGCCUUCGGCAAAUAUGGAACCAUCGAAAAAGUGGAUGUGAUCAGAGACAAAGAAACGGGAAAAUCUCGCUGUUUUGGCUUCGUGAAAUACGACAACUCAGAAGAUGCCAAAGACGCACAGGACGGCAUGAACGGCAAGACUCUAGAUGGACGGUCAAUUCGUGUGGAUGAAGCAGGAAACGGUGGACGCUCCAGGGGAGGUUUUGGAUCCGGUGGCCCAAGAGGACAGCGAGGAGGAGGAUUUGGCGGGCGUGGGCGAGGUGGUGGUGGUGGUGGUGGAUAUAAUGGCGACCGGAGCUAUGGUGACAGGAGUUACGGCGAAAGAAGCUUCCACUCUGAAGGGAGGUUUUCUGGCAACCAGUACAGGAAUAGCGGCGGCGGCGGAGGAGGCGGCGGCGGAUACUCAAGCUACAGAGACAAUAGGGGUCAGGGUGGAUACGCCGGCCGCGGUACAUCCUACCGUGAUGGAUAUGACGGCUACGCUGCAAACGAGUAAACAUCUCCCUGAUUCAAGAUCAUCACUUGGCUGGCUGUAUUUCAAAGAUGCGCUCCUCAAGAAAAAUGUCCAUGUGUUAUUGCUGACCUUAGUUUUGUAGUUCUGUCGUCGUAGCGCAAGCAUCUUUUAAAAAAAUAAUUGUAGCCAUGAGUUUUGGUCAUUCCUUAACGAACCAUGUUACAAUUUACAGUUCCAGACUCGCCUUGCUUGAUUGGGCAUCUCUAUUCCUCAAAGGUCAUUAGUUAGACUAAAAGGCAUCCGUGUCAUCUGAUUCGUACUGCAAGUCCCUUUUUGAGGACCGAACUGCUCUCCGCAUGGCCACUACCAUCGCUGUAGACUUUAUCCAGCACGUUAAGUGUUUCUUGAUUUUGAAUCCUUUUAGUAUUUUAAUUUUUUUUAAAUAAUAUAUAUAUAUAUUUAAAUAUCCGAUGGGCUUGUUGUUCUUAAAUUAAAUUAUUUCCCCGCUCAGUCUCAGUGGCUGUUCUACCUCUUGCCAGGUUUUAAAGUGAGGAGAGGAAUCCGAAUUACUCGUAGACUAACUUUGAGGAUUUUGUGCUAAAUUCCUUUACUAUAUAUAAUAACAACAAUCUAAGUCUAGCUGAGGCUCCUGUGUUUAAAGAGUGAAUUCCUUUCAGACUGGUGAACUACACAACCGAAGUGUCCGGCUGUCAUGAAGUUGCAAAAUGCAGCAUGCUACAGUCUGUCCAAGAGGUCAGCCACAGCAAAAACCGACAAGUCCUUGGAGAGUGAAGUGUUGCGCCUUCCAACAAGUGCUCAUCAGAGAGGAAAGCUGCUCUCUUGCCUAGGUCAAAUGUGGAGAAAGUAGGCCAAUGCACGUGAGGUAAAGAUCUACUUUUGCUUUGCUCACAUCCUUCAACCUCAGUUCUCAUUGUUUCCAUGAAUACCUUCAAGUUAGUCGUUGUUUAUAGUCCUCUGCUUCAGAUGUCGCCCUCAACAUGCCAUGGCCUCUUCCCCGAUUGGAAAAGUUCAUUGAGAAAAAAGUUUCAAAGAAGCUCUUCUGGAUUAUAGUGCUCAUCCUCCUGAGUCCACCAAAAAACCGUGGCCUCUACGUCAUCGGUAGUGUUGUGCUCAGUCCACUUGUGCUCACUGCAUUAGUCCUCAGAUUUGCUCUAGUAAUGCCCCCGCAUCAGUCCUAAUUGACGUCUAAGGUGUCUAGACUGUAUUCAGUUUGUUGUUCCCUUACAUAUGAAUAAGUGGUGAGUUUCAGACUAAUAGGGUUGCAUGCUUAUUGUGAUCUGACUUGUGUUAAUUGCCAGACCUAAUCCAUCUCUUGAUCUUUUUCUUUAGAGUGAACUGGCUGUCAGUGGAACCCCUCACAGCUGAAGUAUCUGGCUUUAGAUGGCAGUGACCGAUGCGGAUUCAGUGACCGAUGCAGACUCAGUUCUCAGGUCCAGUGUGCAACAGUGCUGGCGCAGCUGUAAGCAGUGGCGAUGUGGGAUGAGCCUGCCACGUAAAAGGUCCUUUUGGGAAUAUCUGUUGGCUUGCCAGACGGAUGCAUUUCUCAAAUACGAAAUGGGCGAUAUCAAAGCGAUGUACAACCUCUUGUCUGAUACAACACUAUUGUGACUUUUAAUAAGUCGCUUUACUAUUACAGUAUUCUGCUGUUUGAACGUUUUGUUUUUACAAUUUCAAAAUAAAAUUGUGGCACAAACUA
Molecule: RNA transcript, 2351 nt
Organism: Pseudoliparis swirei
Lineage: Eukaryota; Metazoa; Chordata; Actinopteri; Perciformes; Liparidae
Gene: cirbpa
Gene name: cold inducible RNA binding protein a
Exons: 10
Source: RefSeq, a predicted model, not a curated record